UACGGAGGGGGCAAGCGUUAUUCGGAAUUAUUGGGCGUAAAGGGCGCGUAGGCGGCUAGAUGUGUCAAAGGUGAAAUCCCUCGGCUCAACUGAGGAACUGCCUUUGAAACUGUCUGGCUUGAGGCCGGGAGAGGGUAGCGGAAUUCCCAGUGUAGCGGUGAAAUGCGUAGAUAUCAGGAGGAACACCGGUGGUGUAGACGGCUCUCUGGACCGUAACUGACGCUGAGACACGAAAGCGUGGGUAGCAAACAGG
RNAcentral lists this ribosomal RNA (253 nucleotides) under uncultured bacterium. RNAcentral's name for it is "partial 16S ribosomal RNA". It matches the Rfam family "Bacterial small subunit ribosomal RNA", at positions 524 to 776 of the family's 1533-position model. The record is from RNAcentral.